CUACGGGUCGCAGCAGUGGGGAAUAUUGCACAAUGGAGGAAACUCUGAUGCAGCAACGCCGCGUGGAGGAUGACACUUUUCGGAGCGUAAACUCCUUUUAUAUAGGAAGAAGAUGACGGUACUAUAUGAAUAAGCGCCGGCUAACUCCGUGCCAGCAGCCGCGGUAAUACGGAGGGCGCAAGCGUUACUCGGAAUCACUGGGCGCAAAGAGCGUGUAGGCGGAUUAAAAAGUCAGAAGUGAAAUCCUAUAGCUUAACUAUAGAACUGCUUCUGAAACUCUUAAUCUAGAAUAUGGGAGAGGUAGAUGGAAUUUCUGGUGUAGGGGUAACAUCCGUAGAGAUCAGAAGGAAUACCGAUUGCGAAGGCGAUCUACUAGAACAUUAUUGACGCUGAGACGCGAAAGCGUGGGGAGCAAACAGGAUUAGAUACCCUGGUAGUC
RNAcentral lists this ribosomal RNA (439 nucleotides) under uncultured bacterium. RNAcentral's name for it is "partial 16S ribosomal RNA". It matches the Rfam family "Bacterial small subunit ribosomal RNA", at positions 339 to 795 of the family's 1533-position model. The record is from RNAcentral.